This 324-nucleotide ribosomal RNA is filed under the name uncultured Methanosaeta sp. RNAcentral's name for it is "bacterial SSU rRNA". It matches the Rfam family "Archaeal small subunit ribosomal RNA", at positions 1016 to 1338 of the family's 1478-position model. Lineage: Archaea; Methanobacteriati; Methanobacteriota; Methanomicrobia; Methanotrichales; Methanotrichaceae. The record is from RNAcentral.
GUGAAGACAUCCUGUUAAGUCAGGCAACGAGCGAGACCCACGUCCACAGUUGCCAGCAUACCCUCCGGGGUGAUGGGUACACUGUGGAGACCGCCGCUGCUAAAGCGGAGGAAGGAGUGGGCAACGGUAGGUCAGUAUGCCCCGAAUCUCCCGGGCUACACGCGGGCUACAAUGGUUGGUACAAUGGGCAUCUACCCCGAAAGGGGAAGGAAAUCUCUUAAAGCCAAUCGUAGUUCGGAUUGAGGGCUGCAACUCGCCCUCAUGAAGCUGGAAUCCGUAGUAAUCGCGUUUCAACAGAACGCGGUGAAUACGUCCCUGCUCCUU